GAUGAAGAAACGUAGCGAAAUGCGAUAAGUAAUGUGAAUUGCAGAAUUCAGUGAAUCAUCGAAUCUUUGAACGCACAUUGCGCCCGCCAGUAUUCUGGCGGGCAUGCCUGUUCGAGCGUCAUUACAACCCUCAGGCCCCCGGGCCUGGCGUUGGGGAUCGGCGGAGCCCCCCGUGGGCACACGCCGUCCCCCAAAUGCAGUGGCGGUCCCGCCGCAGCUUCCAUCGCGUAGUAGCUAACACCUCGCGACUGGAGAGCGGCGCGGCCACGCCGUAAAACACCCAACUCUUCUGAAGUUGACCUCGAAUCAGGUAGGAAUACCCGCUGAACUUAAGCAUAUCAAUAAGCGGAGGA
This 353-nucleotide unclassified non-coding RNA is filed under the name soil metagenome. RNAcentral describes it as "partial contains 5.8S ribosomal RNA, internal transcribed spacer 2, and large subunit ribosomal RNA". The stretch from base 1 to 121 matches the Rfam family "5.8S ribosomal RNA", at positions 35 to 154 of the family's 154-position model. The record is from RNAcentral.